RNAcentral lists this ribosomal RNA (432 nucleotides) under uncultured bacterium. Its description in RNAcentral is "partial 16S ribosomal RNA". It matches the Rfam family "Bacterial small subunit ribosomal RNA", at positions 29 to 507 of the family's 1533-position model. The record is from RNAcentral.
AACGAACGCUGGCGGCAUGCCUAACACAUGCAAGUCGAACGAGACCUUCGGGUCUAGUGGCGCACGGGUGCGUAACGCGUGGGAACCUGCCCUUAGGUUCGGAAUAACUCCCCGAAAGGGGUGCUAAUACCGGAUAAUGUCUUCGGACCAAAGAUUUAUCGCCUUUGGAUGGGCCCGCGUUGGAUUAGCUAGUUGGUAGGGUAAAAGCCUACCAAGGCGACGAUCCAUAGCUGGUCUGAGAGGAUGAUCAGCCACACUGGGACUGAGACACGGCCCAGACUCCUACGGGAGGCAGCAGUGGGAAUAUUGGACGAUGGGCGAAAGCCUGAUCCAGCAAUGCCGCGUGAGUGAUGAAGGCCUUAGGGUUGUAAAGCUCUUUUACCCGGGAUGAUAAUGACAGUACCAGGAGAAUAAGCGCCGGCUAACUCCGUG